This 465-nucleotide ribosomal RNA is filed under the name Vreelandella stevensii. RNAcentral's name for it is "partial 16S ribosomal RNA". It matches the Rfam family "Bacterial small subunit ribosomal RNA", at positions 338 to 795 of the family's 1533-position model. Lineage: Bacteria; Pseudomonadati; Pseudomonadota; Gammaproteobacteria; Oceanospirillales; Halomonadaceae. The record is from RNAcentral.
CCUACGGGUGGCAGCAGUGGGGAAUAUUGGACAAUGGGCGAAAGCCUGAUCCAGCCAUGCCGCGUGUGUGAAGAAGGCCUUCGGGUUGUAAAGCACUUUCAGUGGGGAAGAAAGCCUUGGGGCUAAUACCCUCGAGGAAGGACAUCACCCACAGAAGAAGCACCGGCUAACUCCGUGCCAGCAGCCGCGGUAAUACGGAGGGUGCGAGCGUUAAUCGGAAUUACUGGGCAUAAAGCGCGCGUAGGCGGUCUGAUAAGCCGGUUGUGAAAGCCCCGGGCUCAACCUGGGAACGGCAUCCGGAACUGUCAGGCUAGAGUGCAGGAGAGGAAGGUAGAAUUCCCGGUGUAGCGGUGAAAUGCGUAGAGAUCGGGAGGAAUACCAGUGGCGAAGGCGGCCUUCUGGACUGACACUGACGCUGAGGUGCGAAAGCGUGGGUAGCAAACAGGAUUAGAUACCCCAGUAGUC